This 395-nucleotide long non-coding RNA is filed under the name Malus domestica (apple). Its description in RNAcentral is "long non-coding RNA (MDOM_LNC000047)". The record is from RNAcentral. Lineage: Eukaryota; Viridiplantae; Streptophyta; Magnoliopsida; Rosales; Rosaceae.
ACAGUUGGCUUAUUUAUGAAUGUGUUGGAAUGUAGGAUUGGACGAAUAUACUGUGAAGUUGUUCGUUUAUUUGUAUAGUCUUGUUGACAUAUACUUAGACUUUGUUUCAUGUUGGAAGCAUUCAUGUUGAACUUUGAACCCAAGGGUUUCAUUGCUAGGAAUGUAAGAGGAUUAGGAUCAAGUUGUCUAAAUCACCUCUUUAUUGAAUUCAUGCCAAAUAGUCUUCGUUACAUAGGAUGCCGAACGGCUGAAGCUUAACAUUUGUACAAUGUGAGUUUACUUGUAAUAGUACUUCAAGUGAUCAGCGUUCCAUGGAUGGCCAAAGAUCUUGCCAUCGGAGCUUCUAAGCUUGUAGGAGCCAGGGCGACUGAUGCCAACAACUUCAAACGGUCCAU